AUACCUUUCUCGGCCUUUUGGCUAAGAUCAAGUGUAGUAUCUGUUCUUAUCAGUUUAAUAUCUGAUAUGUGAGCCAUUGGCUCACACGAUAUUAACUCAAUUUUUUAAGCGGGAGGUCCAUGAAAGUAGCUUGCUACUUGGGCCUUCACGCGUCGCCUUGGUGUUGCACUACAGCCCAGGCCUGGCGCACCCCAC
Molecule: small nuclear RNA, 195 nt
Filed under: Solanum lycopersicum (tomato)
Lineage: Eukaryota; Viridiplantae; Streptophyta; Magnoliopsida; Solanales; Solanaceae
Description: U2 spliceosomal RNA
Rfam family: U2 spliceosomal RNA
About the family: U2 is a small nuclear RNA (snRNA) component of the spliceosome (involved in pre-mRNA splicing). Complementary binding between U2 snRNA (in an area lying towards the 5' end but 3' to hairpin I) and the branchpoint sequence (BPS) of the intron results the bulging out of an unpaired adenosine, on the BPS, which initiates a nucleophilic attack at the intronic 5' splice site, thus starting the first of two transesterification reactions that mediate splicing.
Source: Rfam by way of RNAcentral